RNAcentral lists this ribosomal RNA (775 nucleotides) under uncultured Neocallimastigales. Its description in RNAcentral is "partial large subunit ribosomal RNA". It matches the Rfam family "Eukaryotic large subunit ribosomal RNA", at positions 23 to 646 of the family's 3401-position model. Lineage: Eukaryota; Fungi; Neocallimastigomycota; Neocallimastigomycetes; Neocallimastigales. The record is from RNAcentral.
AGAGAGAGACAUGCGCGCAUAUCAAUAAGCGGAGGAAAAGAAACUAACUAGGAUUCCCUCAGUAACGGCGAGUGAAGCGGGAAGAGCUCAAAUUUGAAAUCUUAAAGGUUUCCCUUGACGAAUUGUAGUUUAAAGAAGUGUUUUCUGUUGGAGUUUUGGUAAAAGUUCUUUGGAAUAGGACAUCAUAGAGGGUGAGAAUCCCGUAUUUGACCAUUACUUUCCAACUUUGUGAUACACUUUCAAAGAGUCGGAUUGUUUGGGAAUGCAGUCCAAAAUGGGUGGUAAAUUUCAUCCUAAAGCUAAAUAUUGGCGAGAGACCGAUAGCGAACAAGUACCGUGAGGGAAAGAUGAAAAGAACUUUGAAAGGAGAGUUAAACAGUACGUGAAAUUGUCAAAAGGGAAGCGUUUGACACCAGUGUUGUUUUUCUGAAAAUCAAUUAAAGAACUGUUUAUGCUAAGUUGUUUAGACUUUAUCAGCUAACUGUUUAGUUUUGAGCUUUUCUUUAAUGCACUUUUCAGUUAACAAGUCAACAUCAAUUUCUUUUGCUGUAAAAAAGCUUGAGGAAGGUGGCUUGAGAUUCGUCUUAAGUGUUUAUAGCCUCUUGCCUAUGCAGUCGGAGAGAUUGAGGUCUGCAGCGUAGAUCCUUCGGGGCUAAAUGCAUUUGUGCUAAGUUAUAGCCUUUCAUAGACAACUUGUUGACUAUGAUCAGUCAUGUAGCUUACUCGCUUAUGCUAUUUUACCUACGCUUAGGAUGUUGAUGUGAUACUGCGAGCA